AUACUCUCUACCGCAGCCACUGUAUGAUGUCAUAGCAAUGACGUCACACUCAAGCCAAUCAGCCUUGAGGAGGAUAGACUCGUCGGACUGUAGCGGUUGUAAACAACUUGUCGCCCCGUGUGUCUGCCCGUGGCGCUAGUUAUCUGUCGAAGUUACCACUGACAAUGCCCAAAACAAGAACAACAAAGGCCCAAAGGUGGCUGUUUGGUAGUGCGCAAAGCUGCUGGUGGUGGUGGACGUCUCUGCCCUGACGCGCGGCGUGCGUCUGCUCAGUGUGGAGGUGCCGCUGACAGCGGUGCCGGCCGGACCGGCUGCCUCUCCGGCGGCCGACAUUGAGCGCGGCACGUGUCCGCCGCCGUUCGGGCCGCUGCAGCUGCUGCAGUCGGCGGCGCAGCUGUCCGUCUCCGUGUCGCUGGCCGUGCCGCUGGACCUGCUGCCGCGGCCGGCGCCGGCGCGCUGCGCCUACGGCCGCCUGCUGGCCGUCGUCUCGCAGCGCGGCCUGCAGCGCAGCGGCGUGCUGCAGCUCAUCCAGCAGCUCAACGAGCCGCCCAGCCCGGCGGCGGCCGAGGGCGCCGCGCCGCGCCGGCCCGGCGACGUCAGCACACCUGGCAUCAGCGGCUUCUGCCUGGCCGACCGUCAGCUGCACCUGCUGUUCGCCGAGGGGCGCGCCGACGCCGAGCUGGAACAGACGGCGGCCGCGCCGCGCGCUCUGCCGCGCCGCGACGCUCGACUCUGCCACCACUCGGGCGUACUGUUUAGGGAGCGCCUGUACCCGCGCCAGCCGGCCGCGUUCCGCGUGCUCGAGGACCGCCCGCUACGCGCCCAGCUGCUCGACACCCGCCUCUACACGUUACAGAAACAGGAGCCGGCGCGCGCCGUCCGCGCCAUCAGAGAGUGCUUCCGCACGCAGUGGCUGUCGGAAAAUGAACCUGCUUCCCAACGAGGCCGGCCUGCAACAACUGCUGGCCGGCUGUUGGCCGAAAAAAAACGCCUUCAACCGGAUGUCAGUUGUCAAAUCAACGCGUAUUAAUGCAUUCACUAGGAUGGGCUUACGUAAAGCUGUAGAAUUGCAAAUAUAUAAUGGCACUGUUUUUGA
Molecule: long non-coding RNA, 1096 nt
Filed under: Amphibalanus amphitrite
Lineage: Eukaryota; Metazoa; Arthropoda; Thecostraca; Balanomorpha; Balanidae
Description: uncharacterized LOC122379915
Source: RNAcentral